UAAAAAUAGGCAGCUUUAAAACCGUUGUUGCAUUUUGAGUCAAUACUUCAGAACCAGUUUCCUCUUGUUCCUUUUAACCCCGAAUGCAGAAACGCGAAUACACGGAGCGGACACAGAUCCUCGUUUUAACGCAGCUGCCUAUAAUUCCUACACAGAAGCCCAAAUUGUGAUGGCAACUAUCUCACUGGAGAAAAGCCAAUUCAAAUAUCCUUUAAGAAACAGCCGUAUAUGUAACGAAACUCAAUUCUUUUUAACUGUUUACACGGACUGCUGAGCUGAAUCUGCCACCGCCAAUACCAACAGGCUUUCACGCAGUCACAACUCAUGGACCAUUCAGAAAUCUGAUGGAGGAGAUUAAGAAGCUGGUUCUGAAUCUCUAAGUGUGUGUCUUCAGGAUCCUGUACCUCCUCCCAGAUGAUAUUCAUGAGAAGAGGGCAUGCCCCAGAAGCAUCCAGACCUUCCCCAAGGAUUCUUCAAGUCUAAAGUUCGACAAAUAGGUGUCUUUGAUUGUAUCACUCCAACUUCCAGCAGGAGUAACUGGACGAUAGACAGAAGUGGAAUCCCUGGGAAAUUUUCCCCAACCCUUUCUCUAGGUAUUGAGACCAGUGACCAAUGAGCUCAUGUCCCAGCAACCCAACGAACCCACAAAAAUCAAUAUCGUGUCACACACUGCAGGCACAUUGGCUCCUUUCGUUGCAGGUCCCAACAAUCAACUCUUGAGUAAGUGGUGCACAACUAUAGAUGCUUUCGAAAAUCAAACUCAUGAUUCACGUUUACAUUUUUGUACAAAAUCAUCAAUUCAUCUCUAAUCAACUGACCAGAGGAUCACAUGAGACCACAAUCUCAAAUAAUCUAGAAGCAGAAUUUAAAAAAACGAGGAAACAUAUCCUGUUUAGAAUCUACUUUUUUUUUAAACCUUAGAACAAUUUUGCUAUUUCAAUCCAGUUCCUGCAAUCCUUCUAAUAUUCUCUUGACUGCAGCAUACUAUUGCAAAGAAAGCUUCUAUUUUGCAAUUAAAAUGUUAAAUCUUAUGUCAAAUCUUGAUACAGCAAUUACAUGGUAUAUUACUUUAUUAGAGAAAAUGAUUACAUGGAAGAAGUUAAUAAGAUUAGCUCCACUAAGCAAUAUACAGCAAAACUGUCAGGUUUAAAUAAUGGGAUCAACUCCUGACAGAAUACUAUUCAUUUAGUUCAAUUUACGUAUAUGGCUGAAGAGUCACUCCAUUGAAUUACAAUCAGAUGGAGAGAAACAUAUUUAACCUAACAAAUUGGGACUGCUUUUAAUAAUGGGCUGGAAUGGUGUUCCCAAUUCCAAUUAUUUCAAUAGUAGAAAAACUGAUUCAAGAAUGAAGUAAAAAGUGCCUUACUCAUUUCACCUUCUCUAAAUUAGUGAAUGAAGGAUCAUAUAAAUCCUUAAAGUUACAAACAUCUCCAUGAGAAAGUAAAUACCCAAUCAGAAGUACUUACAAAUCAAGUAUUACAACUGUGUACCAGACAAAAACAAAAUGGUACUGGUAACUCAGCCGGACAAGAAGCUAAUUGAUAAUGCCACAGUUCUAGCCAAAUGUAAACGUAUACCUUAUCUUAGAAGUAGUAUGUAAUUGAGAAAAAACUUCCAAUUCAUUCCAACCCAUGCCUACCCCAACUUACUGGAAAUAGUAAUCGAAAAGAUGUGAAGUUGGAGGUGCAGAUGUAGUGAAAAAGGAUCUAGUCCUUCCCUGGCGUAUAUGACAAAUAAACUGUUUUCGGGCUUCCAGCCAGGUACAGGCAUCAAAUAUAACUGACACUGCGAUGGCAAACUGCCAUCUUCAUCAGGGAUCAUCGAAAUGUCGAUUAUAAUUGAUACCUGUAUCCGGAUGGAAACCUGAGAAGAGUUUAUUGGUGCAUAUCUGGUAUUAAAAAGUAAUGCUCGGGUGAAAACAGCUCCACAGCAAUCAUAUACCAGAUACCAAUGUAUUUUUGAAUUAUUAACCAGUAGGCUAAGUAGAGCAGAAAUAAAGUUUUGGAUAAAUGUUCUUAAUUGGCCGCACAACAAUUGCUUUUCAGUUUGCUCAUAAUGAUUUCAGCUUGUUAAGUUUAAUAUAAUUCAGUUUCCAUUGAACAAAACCACUGAGAAAAAGGACAUCUGCUCGUGGAAUAGUUUGAAACAGUGUUACCCACGUCGGCAAAACAUUCUCAAGUAGAGUGGAAAUUACACACAAUCUAAAUCGAGAAAGCAUUUGAAAAUAUGCACCUAAAAUGAAGACGUGCAGCAUUCUCACAUCCUCAUCUGUUUUUUCCCUUAAUCACGCGUCCUCCCAUACAGCUUCAUCACAUCAUGCUGGUACAUACACCACUUUGUUCUUUUCUUCACAAAGGAUUUGCCAUGUCAUCCUGUA
Molecule: long non-coding RNA, 2377 nt
Organism: Hypanus sabinus (Atlantic stingray)
Lineage: Eukaryota; Metazoa; Chordata; Chondrichthyes; Myliobatiformes; Dasyatidae
Exons: 3
Source: RefSeq, a predicted model, not a curated record